CCUACGGGAGGCAGCAGUGAGGAAUAUUGGUCAAUGGACGAGAGUCUGAACCAGCCAAGUAGCGUGAAGGAUGACUGCCCUAUGGGUUGUAAACUUCUUUUAUAUGGGAAUAAAAUGUUCCCCGUGUGGGCUUUUGUAUGUACCAUAUGAAUAAGGAUCGGCUAACUCCGUGCCAGCAGCCGCAGUAAUACGGAGGAUCCGAGCGUUAUCCGGAUUUAUUGGGUUUAAAGGGAGCGUAGGUGGAUUGUUAAGUCAGUUGUGAAAGUUUGCGGCUCAACCGUAAAAUUGCAGUUGAAACUGGCAGUCUUGAGUACAGUAGAGGUGGGCGGAAUUCGUGGUGUAGCGGUGAAAUGCUUAGAUAUCACGAAGAACUCCGAUUGCGAAGGCAGCUCACUGGACUGCAACUGACACUGAGGCUCGAAAGUGUGGGUAUCAAACAGGAUUAGAUACCCCAGUAGUC
Molecule: ribosomal RNA, 460 nt
Filed under: uncultured bacterium
Lineage: Bacteria
Description: partial 16S ribosomal RNA
Rfam family: Bacterial small subunit ribosomal RNA
Source: RNAcentral